This is an RNA transcript of Theobroma umbraticum, 2095 nucleotides long. It is a transcript of the gene named CBL-interacting serine/threonine-protein kinase 24-like, with no coding region annotated. The record is from RefSeq and is a predicted model, not a curated record. NCBI's taxonomy places the organism in Eukaryota, Viridiplantae, Streptophyta, Magnoliopsida, Malvales, Malvaceae.
UUAUUCGACCUUCGAAAUUCGGAUAAAACGUAAAUUUUCACAAAAAACGGGGCACAGAAAAAAGUAUGGAAAAUAAGGGGAGAGAUCAGCUACAACUUCAUUUUCAUUUUAUAUAAAAGAAACUCGUGCAAUAAAAAACAAAGUAAAGAUAAUUUCAAGCUGUUAAACAAAGAUAUCAGCGUUCGAUCUCUGUUUGCUUUACCUGCUUCCAUCAACGACCAAUUUCCUAACGGAGUUUUUUUUUGUUUUUGUCUUUUUUGGGGUGUGAAAUGAACGUUGAAGAAUCAUGAAGAAAGGAACUAGGAAAGUAGGGAAGUAUGAGGUUGGGCGAACGAUUGGCGAAGGAACAUUCGCCAAGGUUAAGUUUGCGCAGAAUACAGACACCGGAGAGAGCGUGGCACUAAAAGUUUUGGCCAAAACCACCAUUCUUAAGCACAAAAUGGUUGAUCAAAUUAAAAGAGAGAUAUCCAUCAUGAAGAUUGUUAGACAUCCUAACAUAGUUAGGUUGCAUGAGGUCUUGGCAAGUAGGACAAAGAUAUAUAUUGUUCUUGAGUUUGUAAGUGGAGGAGAACUCUUUGAUAAAAUUGUUCAUCGUGGAAGACUUUCUGAGAAUGAAAGUAGACAAUACUUUCAACAGCUUAUUGAUGCUGUUUCUCAGUGUCACAGUAAGGGUGUAUGCCACAGAGACCUAAAGCCUGAAAACCUUCUUCUCGACUCUUAUGGCAACUUGAAGGUUUCAGACUUUGGACUGAGUGCAUUGCCCCAACAAGGGGUCGGACUUCUGCACACAACAUGUGGAACCCCAAAUUAUGUUGCACCAGAGGUGCUCAGCAACCAGGGUUAUGACGGUGCAGCUGCAGAUGUGUGGUCAUGUGGAGUUGUUCUCUUUGUUAUAAUGGCUGGAUAUCUCCCAUUCGAUGAGAUAGACCUUCCAACUUUGUACAAAAAGGUUAAUGCUGCCCAAUUUUCUUUUCCAUUUUGGUUUUCGCCUGGUGCAAAAUCAUUAGUACAGAAAAUCCUUGAUCCCAAUCCUAAAACUCGUAUUAAAAUUGAGGGAAUUAAAAAUGAUCCAUGGUUUCAAAAGCAUUAUGUGCCUGUAAGACCUAGAGAAGAAGAAGUGAAUUUGGAUGAUGUCCGCGCAGUUUUUGAUGACAUUGAGGACCAGUAUGUAUCUGAGCAGUCUGUAGUUGAUGAAGGGGGUCCCCUGAUAAUGAAUGCAUUUGAGAUGAUUACACUGUCCCAAGGCUUGAAUCUGUCAGCAUUGUUUGACAGGCAACAGGAUUAUGUAAAACGACAAACUCGUUUUGUAUCACGCAAACCAGCAAGAGUUAUAAUCUCAAGUGUUGAAGCCGUUGCAGAAUCAAUGGGUCUCAAGGUUCAUACACGCAAUUACAAGGCAAGACUUGAGGGAAUAUCUGCAAAUAAGUUUGGGCAAUUUGCAGUUGUCCUGGAGGUUUUUGAAGUUGCACCAUCACUGUUCAUGGUAGAUGUUCGAAAAGCUGCUGGAGACACUCUUGAAUAUCACAAGUUCUACAAGAAUUUUUGUACGAAACUUGAAAAUAUAAUCUGGAAACCGACGGAGGGUCUUGCGAAUUCCAGUCUUCUUAGAACAAUCACUUGCUGAUCCUUUUUCUGUGGAUGUGGUGCAAGUCAGUGAGCAGAUGGGCCCAAUGAAGCUAUUCCUCUGCUGUCCUUCACCAACCCACCGUCUUGCUAUAAAAUUAUGUCUGCUGCGUACAUAUCAGUUUCCGGGUUUAUAGAUCAUUUGCCAGAUGCAAAGUUGAAGAAUUUAUGACUCCAGGUUGAUAUGGUGUUCACUUAGACUAGCAUCGGAGCAGUGAUCCUCAGCACUGUUUGCUUCUGCUGUCAAACGCUGUUCCUGGACUUGAACAAAUCCAUAAUUGUAAGUUUAUGACCACCCAAAACAUAUUCGUAGAUAGAGGCUACUAUUCACAGGUUUCUGCUCCCGCCACCAUCAAAAUCGACUUUCGUUACCAUAAGUACCGCUGCAAUCAUUGUUAUAAGUUCCCGAGUUGCUUUAAAACAUCUCCGGGCAGUAGUAUUCUAUAUUUAAUUGGAAGUGAUAGAUUUACCA